This 385-nucleotide ribosomal RNA is filed under the name uncultured bacterium. Its description in RNAcentral is "bacterial SSU rRNA". It matches the Rfam family "Bacterial small subunit ribosomal RNA", at positions 28 to 417 of the family's 1533-position model. The record is from RNAcentral.
GACGAACGCUGGCGGCGUGCUUAACACAUGCAAGUCGAGCGGUAAGGCCCUUUCGGGGGUACACGAGCGGCGAACGGGUGAGUAACACGUGGGUGACCUGCCCUUAGCUCUGGGAUAAGCCUGGGAAACUGGGUCUAAUACCGGACAUGACCUCAUGACGCAUGUUGUGGGGUGAAAGCCUUGUGCGGCUAGGGAUGGGCCCGCGGCCUAUCAGCUUGUUGGUGGGGUGAUGGCCACCAAGGCGACGACGGUAGCCGGCCUGAGAGGGCGACCGGCCACACUGGGACUGAGACACGGCCCAGACUCCUACGGGAGGCAGCAGUGGGGAAUCUUGCGCAAUGGGCGAAAGCCUGACGCAGCGACGCCGCGUGAGGGAUGACGGCCU